This 68-nucleotide transfer RNA is filed under the name Amarygmini sp. ACP-2013. RNAcentral describes it as "tRNA-Met". Lineage: Eukaryota; Metazoa; Arthropoda; Insecta; Coleoptera; Tenebrionidae. The record is from RNAcentral.
AAAAAGAUAAGCUAAGUAAGCUUCCAGGUUCAUACCCUGUUAAUGAAAGUAAAACCUUUCUCUUUUUA